CCUACGGGAGGCAGCAGUCGAGAAUCAUUCACAAUGGGGGAGACCCUGAUGGUGCGACGCCGCGUGAAGGAAUGAAGGUCUUCGGAUUGUAAACCCCUGUCAUGUGGGAGCAAAUUAAAAAGAUAGUACCACAAGAGGAAGAGACGGCUAACUCUGUGCGAGCAGCCGCGGUAAUACAGAGGAUGCGACGUUUAUCCUGAUUUAUUGGGUUAAAAGGGUGCGUAGGCGGUCCGGAAAGUCAGCGGUAAAAGUCCGGUGCUCAACCCCGGCGGGCCGUUGAAACUGUCGGACUAGAUACGGGGAGAAGUAGGCGGAAUGCGUGGUGUAGCGGUGAAAUGCAUAGAUAUCGCGAAGAACUCCGAUUGCGAAGGCAGCGUACCGGCGUCGGACUGACGCUGAGGCACGAAAGUGUGGGUAUCGAACAGGAUUAGAUACCCGAGUAGUC
Molecule: ribosomal RNA, 445 nt
Filed under: uncultured bacterium
Lineage: Bacteria
Description: partial 16S ribosomal RNA
Rfam family: Bacterial small subunit ribosomal RNA
Source: RNAcentral